This 473-nucleotide long non-coding RNA is filed under the name Homo sapiens (human). RNAcentral describes it as "HSALNT0369430". The record is from RNAcentral. Lineage: Eukaryota; Metazoa; Chordata; Mammalia; Primates; Hominidae.
UUGGUAGCCAGAUGGAGACGCAACUGUUCCGCGGCGGCAGAUCUUCAGUUGCGGUGCGGAGCUGAGCAGACCUCAAAUCAAAGAAAUCCCCAAAAAGUAGAGACAGCAAGCAAAUCUCUGCCAUCUUUAUCAAGAUUAUAAUACCUGCGAUGGAUUUAUUCCUGCUUCAUUGCAUGCAUUCUUUCAUAUGCCAUUUGUUACCACUUAUUUAUAAAAAUGUCAUAUUUAAUUGAAUUUAUAAAACCUAAAGUGAUUAAAAGCAAAAAACUAGUCACCAUAGACUGAUGACAAUUUUUCCAUUUGAAAUACGUGGUAUCAUGCACUAUCCAGCUGACUAUUCAGUAAGUCAAGAGAUCAUGACAAUAAUUUUCUACUAAGAAACAAAUGGUAUAUAUGUCUGAAGGAAGAUAAAAAUUAAAAGCCUAAAAGUACCGCUUUUUGCAGUGACUCACGCCUGUAAUCCCAGCAUUUUG